GAUGAACGCUGGCGGCGUGCCUAAUACAUGCAAGUCGAGCGAACGGACGAGAAGCUUGCUUCUCUGAUGUUAGCGGCGGACGGGUGAGUAACACGUGGAUAACCUACCUAUAAGACUGGGAUAACUUCGGGAAACCGGAGCUAAUACCGGAUAAUAUUUUGAACCGCAUGGUUCAAAAGUGAAAGACGGUCUUGCUGUCACUUAUAGAUGGAUCCGCGCUGCAUUAGCUAGUUGGUAAGGUAACGGCUUACCAAGGCAACGAUGCAUAGCCGACCUGAGAGGGUGAUCGGCCACACCGGAACUGAGACACGGUCCAGACUCCUACGGGAGGCAGCAGUAGGGAAUCUUCCGCAAAGGGCGAAAGCCUGACGGAGCAACGCCGCGUGAGUGAUGAAGGUCUUCGGAUCGUAAAACUCUGUUAUUAGGGAAGAACAUAUGUGUAAGUAACUGUGCACAUCUUGACGGUACCUAAUCAGAAAGCCACGGCUAACUACGUG
This 497-nucleotide ribosomal RNA is filed under the name uncultured bacterium. Its description in RNAcentral is "partial 16S ribosomal RNA". It matches the Rfam family "Bacterial small subunit ribosomal RNA", at positions 28 to 507 of the family's 1533-position model. The record is from RNAcentral.